This 494-nucleotide ribosomal RNA is filed under the name uncultured bacterium. RNAcentral describes it as "partial 16S ribosomal RNA". It matches the Rfam family "Bacterial small subunit ribosomal RNA", at positions 28 to 507 of the family's 1533-position model. The record is from RNAcentral.
GACGAACGCUGGCGGCGUGCUUAACACAUGCAAGUCGAACGGUGAAGCGCCUUCCUUUUUGGUGGGUGUGGAUGAGUGGCGAACGGGUGAGUAACACGUGAGUGACCUGCCCCCUUCUUCUGGAUAACCGCAUGAAAGUGUGGCUAAUACGGGAUAUUCUGGGUCUGUCGCAUGAUGGGUCUGGGAAAGAUAUUGUUUCGGUGGGGGAUGGGCUCGCGGCCUAUCAGCUUGUUGGUGGGGUGAUGGCCUACCAAGGCGGUGACGGGUAGCCGGCCUGAGAGGGUGGACGGUCACACUGGGACUGAGACACGGCCCAGACUCCUACGGGAGGCAGCAGUGGGGAAUAUUGCACAAUGGGCGCAAGCCUGAUGCAGCGACGCCGCGGGAGGGAUGGAGGCCUUCGGGUUGUGAACCUCUUUCGCCAGUGAAGCAGGCCUGCCUCGUUUGUGGGUGGGUUGACGGUAGCUGGAUAAGAAGCGCCGGCUAACUACGUG